This 341-nucleotide long non-coding RNA is filed under the name Elaeis guineensis (African oil palm). RNAcentral describes it as "long non-coding RNA (EGUI_LNC046245)". Lineage: Eukaryota; Viridiplantae; Streptophyta; Magnoliopsida; Arecales; Arecaceae. The record is from RNAcentral.
CAUCAUGAUCAAGUAACUUUCAGGAACAAACUAUAACAUUUAAACAAUAAUAACCUUACUAGAAUAUUUUGCUUCCACACCAGCAUAAACCUUGACAGCUAGGUAGCUGGAUCAGAGUCUAUAAUUCAGCAAGCCUAGUGAACUAUUACAUUGCAUGCUUUUUGAGGUAGAGAGCUAAAUAAUUACACUGCAAAACAAGAAUGAUCUACACAUUCGUUCAGCACCGGCCAUAUCACAAGGUACACAAAGUAAACAAAUUCCAUGUGUACUGGUGCCAGGGCAUUCUUAAGAGUCAUGACAUUGAUUCAGAUUCUAUGGCACAAAAGCCGUUCAAAAAGGGA